Cervus elaphus (red deer) is the source of this 2295-nucleotide long non-coding RNA. RefSeq lists it as uncharacterized. The transcript is spliced from 8 exons. Lineage: Eukaryota; Metazoa; Chordata; Mammalia; Artiodactyla; Cervidae. The record is from RefSeq and is a predicted model, not a curated record.
AGCCCCCUCACUGAUGGCUUUGCCGCCCAGGAACCCUGCAGGGCAGAAGUUGGGGAGGGAAUGGCAGUCUGAAUAGCGGUCUUGGAUGGCUGGAAGCUGGCACCUGUGAACAAGCAACAGUGAUGGUGAUGCAUCCGGAACCAGGCUGCCCAGCCAACCAGCGCUUUCCCACCGGAGCUCUUUGCUCUGGGCUCCUCUGCCGGUGAUUUCCCAGGUCCUGCCUUGCAUUUUCUCCCUCAUCUUCACAUGUGGGGAGCCCCUGGCCAGCUACUGAAGACCCCCAGACAAGCCUUCAGCUUCCAGAUCAUGCAAGGCAGCAUGGACCUAGACUCACUUGUAUGGAAGAGAAUAAGGCGGAAGUGAGGAGAGGUCACUCCCAAGGUCAAGUCACAGGAGGACCGAGUGCCUUCCGGGUCACUCACUUGCCCUCAGGAAAGCCAGCGCCAUGCUGUGAGCUACGCUGUGGAGGAGCCACAAGAUGAGGACCUGAUGAGCCAGCAAAGACCUGAGAUUGUCAACAGCCAGGGAGGCAGGAGACCCCCGGGAAGGCGGAGCCUGACUUUUGUCCAGGAGGCUGGACUACCGACUUCAGAAGGGAAAAGGCCCUCUGGCCUGCACAACAUGGACAUGGGCAGAAUGGUUUUUCCUAACCAGGCCUUCUGGGUUGCAGCAGGACAGCCUGUGUCUGCUCCUCAAAUGUAACAGAUUGUCUCUGGAAACUGGGAAAUCUGACCAGAAGGCCCUUCGCCUCCCAGGCUCUGUAGCUUCUGCAGUGAUGAGGCCUGGCCACCAGAUGGCUCCACAGAGACCACUGCGCUCUCAGGGAAGAGGAGGUUGGGAAGAUCCAGGGGAGGACAUGGAAUUGGAUUCUCACCUGGGGAAGCUCUGCCCAGUUAAAUUGAGUGACUUGCCUAAAGCAACUAAGGAGUGACCCAAGGCACAGAUCGACUGGCUUUUGCUGCUCUCCUCAGGGAAGAGGGAAGUACCAUGUCUGUGACCCCUACCAUUGUCCAGGCUUCCGGCGAGGGUCUUCGUGGUCCCGUGAAGAACGCAGGACAGGCAUCAUCAUCUCCGUUUUUCAAACAAGAAAAUGAGGCCAAGACAGCUACUCUGUUUUGGCUAACGCAGAAGGGGAUGCGGGUGAAGAAGCUUCUAAGUCCGGCCCUCCAUUCGCCAGAGUAACCGCCUCUCCCAGAGGGCGCAGAGUGAACAGUACCUGGUCCAGGUAAAGCUCAGCAAAGGCUUGAGCCCAUUCAGCAAACACUGCCCUUCCCCCAGCGCACACUUCUUAAGUCGGGGCGGCCCAGGGGACUUGCAUUGCUGCUGCCUCACAAGGCCAGCCCCACACGUGGGAACCCCCGAGCGAGACCCGCGCGCCGGCGCCCCCUUCGCCCCCGUGGGGGAAUGGCGCCCAGCCCCGGGCCAAUGAGAGUAGCGGAAUUUAUUUCAUUCAGUGUGGGGCCGGGCUCUUGCCCGGAAAGGGGCGGGGCGCCACGCCGGGGGCGGUGCCGCCGCGCGCCCGGGAGAGGGCGGCGCCCGCCCCGUGGCCCGGCCAAUCGGCGCCGCGCCCGGAGAGGGAGGGGGGACCAGGCCUUUUUUCCCUCCGCGCGGGGCCAAUCCCGACUUUACAAGCUUGAACUUUUGCCACCCUCGGACGAGAGUGCGCGCCCGAGGAGGUACCCCGCCGCGCCGGCUCCAGGGGCAAGAGCGGCCUUAACCCUUCCCGCGCCAGGCGGUCCGCUGCUGCCACCGCGCCCCCACCAGCUUGCGCGGGAUCAGAAGGGAUCUGGGCCCCCAACCCACCCCUAUUUCCAUGGUGAAAUGUCGCUGGGGAAAUCACGAGCCCUACCCACAUCCCUCUUUGUGGUGCAGAGAAUAAACUGGGGAAGGAAAGGGGGUGGAGGAGUCACCCAGCCUCGAGGGGGCCCGGACGGCUGGCGGCCCGCCUAGCUCUGAGGGAAAGACUUGGCGACCGAGAGGAGCCCGAGAGAAGACAUUCCCCGCCUCCACCCCACCGUCCGUAACUCCCUACCUCGAGCAAGCCUAGAGUCCCUCUGCGAGAGGUAUCCCACGCCUCCCGUCUGACCCGGCGGACUACCCCCGACUUUGAGCAGGGGAUGUGGAAACCUCGUGCUAUCACGUUAGAUCCCGCCACCCCAACAAAUCAGCCGCCCCCUACUGCCAAAAAACGUAAGCCAGGAAAGCACACACGCACACCCAUUUUUAUUAGCCUUCCCUGGGAUGGGGGUUUGUACCAAUUCUAAAGUGCAACGUGUGUUUGAAGUUUGUGCACAA